This 429-nucleotide ribosomal RNA is filed under the name Pseudomonadota bacterium. RNAcentral describes it as "Proteobacteria bacterium partial 16S ribosomal RNA". It matches the Rfam family "Bacterial small subunit ribosomal RNA", at positions 355 to 776 of the family's 1533-position model. The record is from RNAcentral. Lineage: Bacteria; Pseudomonadati; Pseudomonadota.
UGGGGAAUAUUGGACAAUGGGCGAAAGCCUGAUCCAGCCAUGCCGCGUGUGUGAAGAAGGUCUUCGGAUUGUAAAGCACUUUAAGUUGGGAGGAAGGGCAGUAAGCGAAUACCUUGCUGUUUUGACGUUACCGACAGAAUAAGCACCGGCUAACUCUGUGCCAGCAGCCGCGGUAAUACAGAGGGUGCAAGCGUUAAUCGGAAUUACUGGGCGUAAAGCGCGCGUAGGUGGUUCGUUAAGUUGAAUGUGAAAGCCCCGGGCUCAACCUGGGAACUGCAUCCAAAACUGGCGGGCUAGAGUAAGGCAGAGGGUGGUAGAAUUUCCUGUGUAGCGGUGAAAUGCAUAGAUAUAGGAAGGAACACCAGUGGCGAAGGCGACCACCUGGGCUCAUACUGACACUGAGGUGCGAAAGCGUGGGGAGCAAACAGG